AGGCUCACUUCGGCAGCAUGUAUACUAAAACUGGAAUGAGGCAGAGAUUAGUAUGGACCCUGCAUAAGGAUGAUACUCAAAUUCGUGAAGAGUUCCAGGAUUCU
This is a small nuclear RNA of Ochotona princeps (American pika), 104 nucleotides long. The record is from Ensembl. NCBI's taxonomy places the organism in Eukaryota, Metazoa, Chordata, Mammalia, Lagomorpha, Ochotonidae.